This 350-nucleotide unclassified non-coding RNA is filed under the name soil metagenome. Its description in RNAcentral is "partial contains 5.8S ribosomal RNA, internal transcribed spacer 2, and large subunit ribosomal RNA". The stretch from base 1 to 120 matches the Rfam family "5.8S ribosomal RNA", at positions 35 to 154 of the family's 154-position model. The record is from RNAcentral.
GAUGAAGAACGCAGCGAAAUGCGAUACGUAGUGUGAAUUGCAGAAUUCAGUGAAUCAUCGAGUCUUUGAACGCACAUUGCGCCCCCUGGUAUUCCGGGGGGCAUGCCUGUCCGAGCGUCAUUGCUGCCCUCAAGCACGGCUUGUGUGUUGGGCCCCCGUCCCCGGUUCUCCCCGGGGACGGGCCCGAAAGGCAGCGGCGGCACCGCGUCCGAUCCUCGAGCGUAUGGGGCUUUGUCACCCGCUCUGUAGGCCCGGCCGGCGCCAGCCGACACCCCAACUUUAUUUUCUAAGGUUGACCUCGGAUCAGGUAGGGAUACCCGCUGAACUUAAGCAUAUCAAUAAGCGGAGGA